This 219-nucleotide ribosomal RNA is filed under the name Satyrinae gen. 1 JM-2020 sp. MB0247. Its description in RNAcentral is "partial large subunit ribosomal RNA". Lineage: Eukaryota; Metazoa; Arthropoda; Insecta; Lepidoptera; Nymphalidae. The record is from RNAcentral.
GAGUUUUAUAUUUAAUUUUAUUUUAUAUUAUUAUAAAAAUUUAUAUUAAAAUGAAAUAAAGUAUUAUAUUGGGGUGAUAGAAAAAUAAAAUAAACUUUUUUUAAAAAUUUAACAUAAAUAAAUGAUUUUUUGAUCCAUUAUUAAUGAUUAUAAGAAAAAAUUACCUUAGGGAUAACAGCGUAAUUUUUUUUUUUAGAACAAAUAAAAAAAAGAGAUUGC